Molecule: ribosomal RNA, 492 nt
Filed under: uncultured bacterium
Lineage: Bacteria
Description: partial 16S ribosomal RNA
Rfam family: Bacterial small subunit ribosomal RNA
Source: RNAcentral
AGUGAACGCUGGCGGUAGGCCUAACACAUGCAAGUCGAACGGCAGCACAGUAAGAGCUUGCUCUUACGGGUGGCGAGUGGCGGACGGGUGAGGAAUACAUCGGAAUCUACUUUUUCGUGGGGGAUAACGUAGGGAAACUUACGCUAAUACCGCAUACGACCUACGGGUGAAAGCAGGGGAUCUUCGGACCUUGCGCGAUUGAAUGAGCCGAUGUCGGAUUAGCUAGUUGGCGGGGUAAAGGCCCACCAAGGCGACGAUCCGUAGCUGGUCUGAGAGGAUGAUCCGCCACACUGGAACUGAGACACGGUCCAGACUCCUACGGGAGGCAGCAGUGGGGAAUAUUGGACAAUGGGCGCAAGCCUGAUCCAGCCAUACCGCGUGAAUGAAGAAGGCCCUCGGGUUGUAAAGCCCUUUUGUUGGGAAAGAAAAGCAGCAGGUUAAUACCCCGCUGUUCUGACGGUACCCAAAGAAUAAGCACCGGCUAACUUCGUG